AGCAGCCGCGGUAAUCCAGCUCCAUAGCGUAUAUAAGUUGUGCAGUAAGCUCGUAGUUGAUUUUGGAUCAGUACGCUGGUCAUGCUUGGUAUGCACUGUGUCACUGGUUUCUCCUUUCGAGAACGUGAUGUCAUUAAUUGGUGUCGCGGGAAUCAGGGACUGUUACUUUGAAAAAUUGAGUGUUUAAGCAGGCUCACGCUGAAUACAUUGCAUGGAAUAAUGA
RNAcentral lists this ribosomal RNA (223 nucleotides) under uncultured Glomeromycotina. RNAcentral's name for it is "partial small subunit ribosomal RNA". It matches the Rfam family "Eukaryotic small subunit ribosomal RNA", at positions 569 to 820 of the family's 1831-position model. The record is from RNAcentral. Lineage: Eukaryota; Fungi; Glomeromycota.